AAAAUCGAUUAACUCCGCCUACUCGACGUAUGAUAACCUUUAACACUGUCCCUCAUAAUUUCUAGUCCAUAAAUUCUAUACACCCUCGCCAGCGAAGAGUGCGACGCCACCAAUCGACGCCACCAUCCGGUAAAUAAAACAAACACGAACCCUAUUUUCCCAAGGAAAACCUAUCACAUCAUAAUCCACACCUUAAACCAAACAGAACUGUAAUAGCUAUCCAUGAUUCAAAGAAAGAAACAAACAGGAGCAAGCAUGACAGAAUCAAAGGUGUUUCAAUCAAAUUAGCUACAAAUCUCACGACACAGUGG
This 311-nucleotide long non-coding RNA is filed under the name Lathyrus oleraceus (garden pea). Its description in RNAcentral is "Pisum sativum (pea) long non-coding RNA (PSAT_LNC007372)". The record is from RNAcentral. Lineage: Eukaryota; Viridiplantae; Streptophyta; Magnoliopsida; Fabales; Fabaceae.